RNAcentral lists this transfer RNA (72 nucleotides) under Cavia porcellus (domestic guinea pig). It matches the Rfam family "tRNA". From Rfam's summary of the family: Transfer RNA (tRNA) molecules are approximately 80 nucleotides in length. Their secondary structure includes four short double-helical elements and three loops (D, anti-codon, and T loops). Lineage: Eukaryota; Metazoa; Chordata; Mammalia; Rodentia; Caviidae. The record is from Rfam by way of RNAcentral.
UGGAAUGUAGCUCAGUGGUAGAGUACUUGCCUGGCAUGCUUGGGGUCCUGGGUUCGAUCCCUAGCACCACAA